GACCUGAGAGGGUGAUCGGCCACACUGGGACUGAGACACGGCCCAGACUCCUACGGGAGGCAGCAGUGGGGAAUAUUGCACAAUGGGCGGAAGCCUGAUGCAGCAACGCCGCGUGCGGGAUGACGGCCUUCGGGUUGUAAACCGCUUUCGCCUGUGACGAAGCGUGAGUGACGGUAAUGGGUAAAGAAGCACCGGCUAACUACGUGCCAGCAGCCGCGGUAAUACGUAGGGUGCGAGCGUUAAUCGGAAUUACUGGGCGUAAAG
This 264-nucleotide ribosomal RNA is filed under the name Oxyrrhis marina. Its description in RNAcentral is "partial Bacterial small subunit ribosomal RNA". It matches the Rfam family "Bacterial small subunit ribosomal RNA", at positions 289 to 565 of the family's 1533-position model. Lineage: Eukaryota; Dinophyceae; Oxyrrhinales; Oxyrrhinaceae. The record is from RNAcentral.